UACGGAGGAUCCAAGCGUUAUCCGGAAUCAUUGGGUUUAAAGGGUCCGUAGGCGGUCUUAUAAGUCAGUGGUGAAAGCCCAUCGCUCAACGAUGGAACUGCCAUUGAUACUGUAAGACUUGAAUUUUUGUGAAGUAACUAGAAUAUGUAGUGUAGCGGUGAAAUGCUUAGAUAUUACAUGGAAUACCAAUUGCGAAGGCAGGUUACUAACAAACGAUUGACGCUGAUGGACGAAGGGGUGGGGAGCGAACAGGAUUAGAUGCCCUGGUAGUCCACGCCGUAAACGAUGGAUACUAGCUGUUCGGAGCAAUCUGAGUGGCUAAGCGAAAGUGAUAAGUAUCCCACCUGGGGAGUACGCACGCAAGUGUG
Molecule: ribosomal RNA, 368 nt
Filed under: uncultured prokaryote
Description: bacterial SSU rRNA
Rfam family: Bacterial small subunit ribosomal RNA
Source: RNAcentral